AAGACUAUACUUUCAGGAAUCAUUUCUACAGUAUAUCACUAGAGAAGUUUCUCUGAGCAAUCAAAAACCAUGAGGAGGAGCCAGAACAUUCUCUCCUGUGUGUGAAGCCAGUUCUAGGUGUUGCUUCUGCAACUGCCUUUUGCAAUUGAUGAUCGUUCUUCCCUUUCUUUGAAAGGGUUAGAGGGGAAGGGUGCAGUCUGAGUGGU
Molecule: small nucleolar RNA, 206 nt
Organism: Suncus etruscus (white-toothed pygmy shrew)
Lineage: Eukaryota; Metazoa; Chordata; Mammalia; Eulipotyphla; Soricidae
Product: small nucleolar RNA U3
Exons: 1
Source: RefSeq, a predicted model, not a curated record